AACAAAAAUCUCACAAACAUAAUAUUGGUGAAAAGAAACCAGAUACAAAGAAUGCAUAAUUCCAUUUAUAUAUCUCCCCAAACCAGACAGAACUAAUCUAUGCGCUUAGAACUCAGGAUAGUGGUUUCCCUUGGAGAGGUAGUUAACUGGAAGGGAAUCUGACGGGGGGCUUCUGGGGUGCCGAUUGUAUGCACGUGCUCCACUUGUGAAAAAUCAUUGAUGUGUUUCUAUAGUUACACUUUAAUAAAAAGUUAAACAAAAUGAUUUGCCUCUGUCUGGAUACUCGACUCAAAACUGAAAAAAAUGUCUCCUUUGCUCUCAGCCUCUCACUUUGGCUACACUCUCAUACUGGCAUUCUCAGCUCCUGCCACUUGCAAAUGGUGAGGGUGGGAAGAGAAUCCCUCUCCCUGCCAUGCAGGCUAAACUAGAUUUGCUACAGGUUGGGCUGCUAAAGAAGGAGGUCUACCAAACUGAAAUUCAAGUCUUAUCUCUGCUUCCUGCCAGUGCACUCAAGUGCUGUCUUGCUCUCUCUAACCCCCUCUUUCAACAAAGCCCCUUACUCAGAAAUAAACACUCCUCUCAGGGAACAUCUAAGUAAGUAUCAACGUUUUGAACCAAAAGAAUGGAGCUCUAAUAGUUAACAUCUCAAGCUGCAGGUGGUGGAUGGGUGAGGAGUCAUCUGGGCUGACACCCGUGGAGGUAUAUAACAAGCACUUGGAGGGCAGGCCCAGCUUGAGGAGGGGGUGUGAAAAUCCUGGCUCUCCUUUGGGCAAGUCUGUAUCCUCUAUGACUCAGUUUCCUCAUCAUUAAAAUGGGAAUAAUGGUGCUGAGAUGUUAUAACAAUCAAAAUGAGUUACCACAGGUGAAGAAUUUAGCAAAGUGACUGACUUAGGUAGGAGGCUAAUAAACAUUAGCUGUCAGCUCAGCUUUGUCCAAGGUAUGUUGCCCCCAAAAAAGCACAACCCAGGAGAAGUCCAGGGAGCAGGGGACUUUAGGGCUUGCUCAAGUCUCCACAGCCAAACUGGAGAGUACCCUUGGAUGUCCUGUGCUUCCUCAAUAUCGUGGUGAGGCGCAGGCACUAAGGAGUGGGGUGACUUUAGGCCUACAUGGGAGCAGAGGACAAACUGAGCAGCACAAGAGGGAGGGAAGAACUGACAGUGCCCUGGGAUCCAGUCCUGUAUGCAUCUGCUAAAUAUCAUUACACAAGUAUAGUAGCCUUUGCACUGGUUGCCUUCAAAGAAUUAGGAAUGUCGUUCUGUCAGAGGGCGGGGAAUGAAAACACUUGUCAAGUGUGCAGUGUUUGAUAUAGCAGCAACUAGGGAGGUUCUAACAUCACACACUUGUACUUCCUAUUUGACCAACAGGCCAUCAAGUACCACAGGCAUUUUGGUACAACUUCUAUUAUUGGGGCCUGGUCCCUGGAUUUGGCCUCUAUUUUGCAGACCCUAGAGACCCUCUGUGGUGACUGGCUCGAGAUAACCCAAAUGCACAAGGCCUGAGGUAGACAACAGAAAGUCAGUUUUUCAACAAAAAACAAUGUUUGGUAGCUAGAAUAUUCACACUGGCAUUUUCACCCUGCAGGCAGACCUAUACAAGUAGCCAAACCUUCAUUACAAAGAUACUUGAAGAGUACUUGAAUACAAAUCAAAAUGACAUAAUGGCACUAAGCUAAAAAACAGGCUGAAAAAGAAAUUCCCAAAUAGAGUUAACAAAACUGGAUACCUGGCCAUCUCAUGGCUGAGCAAGCUUUGUCUUCUUUUCUAUGAUGCUGACCAAUAUACUCCCAACUCUGCUCUGAUCCUCUAUUAACAUGUGAAGGCAGAGAGCGGUCAUGCUCCCUCAAUUUCCAAGUGUGGAUGGGGGAGCAGGCUGGGAAACUCACUGUGCUGGCAAUCUACCUUUCAGUCAUUUCAAGAUUGCAUUAACAUAAGUGAGAGUCUCCACCCAAUGUUUUCUCCAGCUGAAGGCCAAUUUCUUUGGAGAGUCACCCUGGACCCAGAGAACCUGGCUGGGUACUGAAGGCACAGCAGGGCCAAGCCUGAUGGUGCAGUGACUCUGCAGAGUCACUCUCACAGAAUUGCAAUACUUUCCGCAGGUUAGAACACGGCUCCCACAGAAGUGGUUAAAAACUGCCAGCUCCUCUCCCUGAACACAAGCCACUAGUGCUUUCUCAAGUAUAUUCUAGGCCCAAAGAAUUCAACAUCAGCAUUCUUGGUUAAAUCACAAUCCAGCUAUGUUCCUAGAUCAAUCAUCACAAUCCCCAGUUCCAUCAUUCCCACCAAGAGCUGGUUAGGUCUUCAUUUCUAAUUCCAUUCUCAGAGGAUAAACUGCAUGGCAGGUCUGGGAGUGCCCCACUUCACUGAGCUUGCAGCAACAGGUGCUCUUCCUGGCCCGACAGUGGAAAGCCAUGCCCCCCUCAUAAUAGUUACCAACUUCACGUAAAUCAAUAAUGUUUAUCAAAUGGAUUGUCCUUAAUGACCACUUGUGCCUCAACAUCACCAACAACCAUGUAAGGGGAUUCCUACAGUAACAAUGAGGCUCUGCAACCUGACUUCCUCAACACCCACUGCUGAAGAACCACAGGCCUUCACAGAUUUGCUGUGCUUCUGGCUUCUCUUCUGAACACAGGAACUUCACUUCAGAAUAUCUUUGCACCACAUUUGUCCCCUAUCAUGCACACCUCUAACACAUCCUGCUCAUGGAUGUUUCAUUGAAUGUUCUAGUAUUAUUAUGCCUUCACUGUCACAUCAGAGUGGCC
Molecule: long non-coding RNA, 2758 nt
Filed under: Pan troglodytes (chimpanzee)
Lineage: Eukaryota; Metazoa; Chordata; Mammalia; Primates; Hominidae
Description: long non-coding RNA NONPTRT007438
Source: RNAcentral